Molecule: ribosomal RNA, 468 nt
Filed under: uncultured bacterium
Lineage: Bacteria
Description: partial 16S ribosomal RNA
Rfam family: Bacterial small subunit ribosomal RNA
Source: RNAcentral
GACGAACGCUGGCGGCGUGCUUAACACAUGCAAGUCGAACGGAAAGGCCCUGCUUUUGUGUGGUGCUCGCGUGGCGAACGUGUGUGUUACCCGUGAGUAACCUUCCCUUUACUUUGUGAUAUCUUCAGGAAACUGGUGCUAAUACCUGCUAGGUGCUCCUGCUGCUUGGUGGGGUUUGGAAAGUUUCGGCGGUUGUGUAUGGACUGCCGGGUUAUCAGCUUGUUGGUGGGGUAGUGGCUUACCCAGGGUUUGACGGGUAGCCGGCCUGAGAGGUUGACCCGCGACAUGGGGACUGAGAUACGGCGCAGAGUGCAACGGGAGGCAGCAGGGGGGAAUAUUGCACAAUGGGGGGAAGCGUGAUGAAGAAACGCGGCGAGCGGGAUGAAGGCCUACGGGUUGUAAAGCGCAUUAGCCUGUGACGAAGCGUGAGUGACGGUAAUGGGUAAAGAAGCACCGGCUAACUACGUG